CCAAUAGCGUAUAUUAAAGUUGUUGCAGUUAAAAAGCUCGUAGUUGAAUUUCGGGAUUAAUAUGCUGGUCGUGCCAUUGGUACGUACUAGUAUUAUUGAUUUCUCCCUUCUGAUGAAUCAUGAUAUCAUUAAUUUGAUGUCAUGGGGAAUCAGGACUGUUACUUUGAAAAAAUUAGAGUGUUUAAAGCAGGCUCGCGCUUGAAUACAUUAGCAUGGAAUA
This 220-nucleotide ribosomal RNA is filed under the name uncultured Glomus. Its description in RNAcentral is "partial small subunit ribosomal RNA". It matches the Rfam family "Eukaryotic small subunit ribosomal RNA", at positions 591 to 816 of the family's 1831-position model. Lineage: Eukaryota; Fungi; Glomeromycota; Glomeromycetes; Glomerales; Glomeraceae. The record is from RNAcentral.